RNAcentral lists this unclassified non-coding RNA (152 nucleotides) under Ascomycota sp. RNAcentral describes it as "partial contains small subunit ribosomal RNA and internal transcribed spacer 1". The stretch from base 1 to 47 matches the Rfam family "Eukaryotic small subunit ribosomal RNA", at positions 1785 to 1831 of the family's 1831-position model. The record is from RNAcentral. Lineage: Eukaryota; Fungi; Ascomycota.
AAAGUCGUAACAAGGUUUCCGUAGGUGAACCUGCGGAAGGAUCAUUGGUAGAGGGGAUGAGGAGAUGAGGAGAGAGUUGGAAUGCGGGAGAAUAACAUUACAUAAUCAUACAAUCAACAACACAACUGCUGACAAUGGAUCUCUGGGCUCUU